CUUUAUAUGCAAUUCUGUUAUUCAGUUUUCACCAGAAUCACUUGGAUUAAAACCCGUGGGUUGGGCAGUUGGAAAUAUUCAUGGGAAGAGAAUCCUGCAGGACCCCACAGCUGCUCCUGUGGAGGAAGCUGGAAGCCACCCCUCAGGUAAGCAGCUCCUCCCCUGUGUCCCUCUGGGCUUUACCAGGUGGAGCUUCCCUCCCUCCCUCACAGAGAGGGUUUGUCUUCUGCAGCUGCCAGGAGGUUGUGCCAGGCUGGUGGUGUCCUGCAGCCAAUGUAGGGAUUUUUCCUUUUUCAUGUUUCCCUGCUGGUGGGAGGUAAGCCUGAACUUAAUAGCAAACACAGCUGGUAGUUUUCAAGUAAUUUUCUUCCAGCUAAAUGAUUGCAACUUCUAACUUUUGUAACAAAGAAUCUUUCCCGCUAGACUUAUGAGGAUAUUCCAAUUAUUACGGAAUAUUUAAUAAUAACUAUUGCUAUUGCUUCUUCUUUUACCGUUUCUAUCCAGGCAAUUCCCUUGUCAGUGGCAGCUUUUCUGUGACCACAGGGAAGCACCGUUUUUUGAUAAUCACGCGGCUUCCAGGAGUGCUGUCCUGGUAAUGGUCUUGGUACCCCUCACAGGUGCUGCAGGACAAAGUGUCGAGCAGCCCACUGAGCUGACCGCUGUGGAAGGAGCCUUCAUCCAGGUCAACUGCACGUACCAGACAUCUGGGUUCAACGGGCUGUCCUGGUACCAGCAACGUGAGGGUGGAGCACCCAUGUUUCUCUCUUACAAUGUUCUGGAUGGUGUGGAGAGGAGAGGCCAAUUUUCUACAUUCCUUAGUCGGUCUGAUGGGUACAGUUACCUUCUCCUGAGUGAGCUCCAGGUGCAAGACUCUGCCUCUUAUGUGUGUGCUGUGAGAGACACAAUGGUUAUGUGGCCUCUGAGGCUGCACCAAAAUCCAGAGGCCACAG
RNAcentral lists this long non-coding RNA (950 nucleotides) under Marmota monax (woodchuck). Lineage: Eukaryota; Metazoa; Chordata; Mammalia; Rodentia; Sciuridae. The record is from RNAcentral.